GACGAACGCUGGCGGCAGGCUUAACACAUGCAAGUCGAACGAUAAGCCAGAGCUUGCUCUGGUGGACAGUGGCAGACGGGUGAGUAACGCGUGGGAAUAUACCUAGUAGUACGGAAUAGCCUUUGGAAACGAAGAGUAAUACCGUAUACGCCCUUCGGGGGAAAGAUUUAUCGCUAUUAGAGUAGCCCGCGUUAGAUUAGAUAGUUGGUGGGGUAAUGGCCUACCAAGUCGACGAUCUAUAGCUGGUUUGAGAGGAUGAUCAGCCACACUGGGACUGAGACACGGCCCAGACUCCUACGGGAGGCUGCAGUGAGGAAUAUUGGACAAUGGGGGAAACCCUGAUCCAGCCAUGCCGCGUGAAUGAAGAAGGCCCUAGGGUUGUAAAGUUCUUUCGUCGGUGAAGAUAAUGACGGUAGCCGAAGAAGAAGCCCCGGCUAACUCCGU
This 444-nucleotide ribosomal RNA is filed under the name uncultured bacterium. RNAcentral's name for it is "bacterial SSU rRNA". It matches the Rfam family "Bacterial small subunit ribosomal RNA", at positions 28 to 506 of the family's 1533-position model. The record is from RNAcentral.